Molecule: ribosomal RNA, 497 nt
Filed under: uncultured bacterium
Lineage: Bacteria
Description: partial 16S ribosomal RNA
Rfam family: Bacterial small subunit ribosomal RNA
Source: RNAcentral
GAUGAACGCUGGCGGCGUGCCUAAUACAUGCAAGUCGAGCGAACAGACGAGGAGCUUGCUCCUCUGACGUUAGCGGCGGACGGGUGAGUAACACGUGGAUAACCUACCUAUAAGACUGGGAUAACUUCGGGAAACCGGAGCUACUACCGGAUAAUAUAUUGAACCGCAUGGUUCAAUAGUGAAAGACGGUUUUGCUGUCACUUAUAGCUGGAUCCGCGCCGCAUUAGCUAGUUGGUAAGGUAACGGCUUACCAAGGCGACGAUGCGUAGCCGACCUGAGAGGGUGAUCGGGCACACUGGAACUGAGACACGGUCCAGACUCCUGCGGGAGGCAGCAGUAGGGAAUCUUCCGCAAUGGGCGAAAGCCUGACGGAGCAACGCCGCGUGAGUGAUGAAGGUCUUCGGAUCGUAAAACUCUGUUAUUAGGGAAGAACAAAUGUGUAAGUAACUAUGCACGUCUUGACGGUACCUAAUCAGAAAGCCACGGCUAACUACGUG